Molecule: long non-coding RNA, 804 nt
Organism: Oncorhynchus keta (chum salmon)
Lineage: Eukaryota; Metazoa; Chordata; Actinopteri; Salmoniformes; Salmonidae
Exons: 3
Source: RefSeq, a predicted model, not a curated record
UAUAUUGACACAUAGACCAGAUAGGUGCAGUGAAAUAUAUUGACACAUAGACCAGAUAGGUACAGUGAAAUAUAUUGACACAUAGACCAGAUAGGUGCAGUGAAAUAUAUUGACACAUAGACCAGAUAGGUGCAGUGAAAUAUAUUGACACAUAGACCAGAUAGGUGCAGUGAAAUAUAUUGACACAUAGACCAGAUAGGUGCAGUGAAAUAUAUUGUCACAUAGACCAGAUAGGUGCAGUGAAAUAUAUUGACACAUAGACCAGAUAGGUGCAGUGAAAUAUAUUGACACAUAGACCAGAUAGGUGCAGUGAAAUAUAUUGACACAUAGACCAGAUAGGUGCAGUGAAAUAUAUUGACACAUAGACCAGAUAGGUACAGUGAAAUAUAUUGACACAUAGACCAGAUAGGUACAGUGAAAUAUAUUGACACAUAGACCAGAUAGGUGCAGUGAAAUAUAUUGACACAUAGACCAGAUAGGUACAGUGAAAUAUAUUGACACAUAGACCAGAUAGGUGCAGUGAAAUAUAUUGACACAUAGACCAGAUAGGUACAGUGAAAUAUAUUGACACAUAGACCAGAUAGGUGCAGUGAAAUAUAUUGACACAUAGACCAGAUAGGUGCAGUGAAAUAUAUUGACACAUAGACCAGAUAGGUGCAGUGAAAUAUAUUGACACAUAGACCGGAGAGGUGCAGUGAAAUAUAUUGACACAUAGACCAGAUAGGUGCAGUGAAAUAUAUUGACACAUAGACCAGAUAGGUGCAGUGAAAUAUAUUGACACAUAGACCAGAUAGGUACAGUGAA